RNAcentral lists this ribosomal RNA (744 nucleotides) under uncultured archaeon. RNAcentral's name for it is "bacterial SSU rRNA". It matches the Rfam family "Archaeal small subunit ribosomal RNA", at positions 106 to 854 of the family's 1478-position model. The record is from RNAcentral.
AAACUACCAAGAUCCGGGAUAACCCCGGGAAACUGGGGAUAAUACCGGAUAGAUCAAACUUGCUGGAAGGCUGUUUGGUUGAAACUUCCGGGGCUUUUGGAUGGGUCUGCGGCUGAUUAGGUUGUUGCCGGUGUAACGUACCGUCAAGCCUGUAAUCAGUACGGGUUGUGGGAGCAAGAGCCCGGAGAUGGAUUCUGAGACACGAAUCCAGGCCCUACGGGGCGCAGCAGGCGCGAAAACUCUACAAUGCAGGCAACUGCGAUAGGGGAACAUCGAGUGAUCCUCAUAUUGGGGGUCUGUCCACCCGUCUAAAAAACGGGUGUUAGCAAGGGCCGGGCAAGACCGGUGCCAGCCGCCGCGGUAAUACCGGCGGCUCGAGUGGUGGCCGAUAUUAUUGAGUCUAAAGGGUCCGUAGCCGGCUUUGCAAGUCUCUCGGGAAAUCCAGCGGCUUAACCGUUGGUCGUCCGGGGGGUACUACAUUGCUUGGGACUGGGAGAGGUAGGAGGUACUCAGGGGGUAGGAGUGAAAUCCUGUAAUCCUCUGGGGACCACCGGUGGCGAAGGCGUCCUACCAGAACAGGUCCGACGGUGAGGGACGAAAGCUAGGGGCACGAACCGGAUUAGAUACCCGGGUAGUCCUAGCCGUAAACGAUGCUCGCUAGGUGUCACAACAGUCGUGAACUGUUGUGGUGCCGUAGGGAAGCCGUGAAGCGAGCCACUUGGGAAGUACGACCGCAAGUUGAAA